AGAGAAUAGAUACCCAGGUAGUCCACGCCCUAAACGAUGGAUACUAGGCGUAGGAGGUAUCCGACCCCUCCUGUGCCGCAGCAAACGCACUUAAGUAGUCCCGCCUGGGGAGUACGGCCGCAAGGUUAGAAACUCAAAGUGAAUUGACGGGGACCCGCACAAGCGGUGGAGCAUGUGGAUUAAUUCGAUACUUAACCGAAGAACCUUACCCGACUCUUGACAUUGAAGGAAAGGCAUACGAGAUAUGUCCCUCGCCCACAAGGCAACCUGAAAAACCAGAUGUUGCAUGGCUGUCGUCAGCUCGUGCCCGUGAGGUGUACGGUUAAGUCCGCCAACGAGCGCAACCCUCGUUCUGUGUUACCAGGCGAGUAAAGUCGGGCACGUCACAGGAGACCGCCGGU
RNAcentral lists this ribosomal RNA (401 nucleotides) under uncultured bacterium. Its description in RNAcentral is "bacterial SSU rRNA". It matches the Rfam family "Bacterial small subunit ribosomal RNA", at positions 773 to 1156 of the family's 1533-position model. The record is from RNAcentral.